CCUACGGGGGGCAGCAGUCGAGAAUCAUUCACAAUGGGGGAAACCCUGAUGGUGCGACGCCGCGUGGGGGAAUGAAGGUCUUCGGAUUGUAAACCCCUGUCAUGUGGGAGCAAAUUAAAAAGAUAGUACCACACGAGGAAGAGACUGCUAACUCUGUGCCAGCAGCCGCGGUAAUACAGAGGUCUCAAGCGUUGUUCGGAAUCACUGGGCGUAAAGCGUGCGUAGGCUGUUUCGUAAGUCGUGUGUGAAAGGCGCGGGCUCAACCCGCGGACGGCACAUGAUACUGCGAGACUAGAGUAAUGGAGGGGGAACCGGAAUUCUCGGUGUAGCAGUGAAAUGCGUAGAUAUCGAGAGGAACACUCGUGGCGAAGGCGGGUUCCUGGACAGUAACUGACGCUGAGGCACGAAGGCCAGGGGAGCGAAAGGGAUUAGAUACCCGGGUAGUC
This 446-nucleotide ribosomal RNA is filed under the name uncultured bacterium. Its description in RNAcentral is "partial 16S ribosomal RNA". It matches the Rfam family "Bacterial small subunit ribosomal RNA", at positions 338 to 795 of the family's 1533-position model. The record is from RNAcentral.